This 497-nucleotide ribosomal RNA is filed under the name uncultured bacterium. RNAcentral's name for it is "partial 16S ribosomal RNA". It matches the Rfam family "Bacterial small subunit ribosomal RNA", at positions 28 to 507 of the family's 1533-position model. The record is from RNAcentral.
GAUGAACGCUGGCGGCGUGCCUAAUACAUGCAAGUCGAGCGAACAGACGAGGAGCUUGCUCCUUCGACGUUAGCGGCGGACGGGUGAGUAACACGUAGGUAACCUACCUAUAAGACUGGGAUAACCUCGGGAAACCGGAGCUAAUACCGGAUAAUAUUUCGAACCGCAUGGUUCGAUAGUGAAAGAUGGCUUUGCUAUCACUUAUAGAUGGACCUGCGCCGUAUUAGCUAGUUGGUAAGGUAACGGCUUACCAAGGCAACGAUACGUAGCCGACCUGAGAGGGUGAUCGGCCACACUGGAACUGAGACACGGUCCAGACUCCUACGGGAGGCAGCAGUAGGGAAUCUUCCGCAAAGGGCGAAAGCCUGACGGAGCAACGCCGCGUGAGUGAUGAAGGUCUUCGGAUCGUAAAACUCUGUUAUUAGGGAAGAACAAACGUGUAAGUAACUGUGCACGUCUUGACGGUACCUAAUCAGAAAGCCACGGCUAACUACGUG